This 253-nucleotide ribosomal RNA is filed under the name uncultured bacterium. Its description in RNAcentral is "partial 16S ribosomal RNA". It matches the Rfam family "Bacterial small subunit ribosomal RNA", at positions 524 to 776 of the family's 1533-position model. The record is from RNAcentral.
UACGAAGGGGGCUAGCGUUGUCCGGAUUUACUGGGCGUAAAGAGCGCGCAGGCGGUCGUUCAAGUCGAGUGUGAAAGCCCCCGGCUCAACUGGGGAGGGUCACUCGAUACUGAUCGACUCGAAGGCAGGAGAGGGAAGUGGAAUUCCCGGUGUAGUGGUGAAAUGCGUAGAUAUCGGGAGGAACACCAGUGGCGAAGGCGACUUCCUGGCCUGUUCUUGACGCUGAGGCGCGAAAGCUAGGGGAGCAAACGGG